This 1335-nucleotide ribosomal RNA is filed under the name metagenome. Its description in RNAcentral is "bacterial SSU rRNA". It matches the Rfam family "Bacterial small subunit ribosomal RNA", at positions 9 to 1338 of the family's 1533-position model. The record is from RNAcentral.
GAGUUUGAUCCUGGCUCAGAUUGAACGCUGGCGGCAUGCCUUACACAUGCAAGUCGAACGGCAGCACGGACUUCGGUCUGGUGGCGAGUGGCGAACGGGUGAGUAAUGUAUCGGAACGUACCUUUCAGUGGGGGAUAACGUAGCGAAAGUUACGCUAAUACCGCAUAUUCUGUGAGCAGGAAAGCAGGGGAUCGCAAGACCUUGCGCUGAUUGAGCGGCCGAUAUCAGAUUAGCUAGUUGGUGAGGUAAAGGCUCACCAAGGCGACGAUCUGUAGCGGGUCUGAGAGGAUGAUCCGCCACACUGGAACUGAGACACGGUCCAGACUCCUACGGGAGGCAGCAGUGGGGAAUUUUGGACAAUGGGGGCAACCCUGAUCCAGCCAUGCCGCGUGAGUGAAGAAGGCCUUCGGGUUGUAAAGCUCUUUCGGCCGGGAAGAAAUCGCAUGGGUUAAUACCCUGUGCGGAUGACGGUACCGGCAUAAGAAGCACCGGCUAACUACGUGCCAGCAGCCGCGGUAAUACGUAGGGUGCGAGCGUUAAUCGGAAUUACUGGGCGUAAAGCGUGCGCAGGCGGUUUUUUAAGACAGGCGUGAAAUCCCCGGGCUCAACCUGGGAACUGCGCUUGUGACUGGAAGGCUAGAGUAUGGCAGAGGGGGGUGGAAUUCCACGUGUAGCAGUGAAAUGCGUAGAGAUGUGGAGGAACACCAAUGGCGAAGGCAGCCCCCUGGGCCAAUACUGACGCUCAUGCACGAAAGCGUGGGUAGCAAACAGGAUUAGAUACCCUGGUAGUCCACGCCCUAAACGAUGUCAACUAGGUGUUGGGUGGGUAAAACCAUUUAGUACCGGAGCUAACGCGUGAAGUUGACCGCCUGGGGAGUACGGCCGCAAGGUUAAAACUCAAAGGAAUUGACGGGGACCCGCACAAGCGGUGGAUGAUGUGGAUUAAUUCGAUGCAACGCGAAAAACCUUACCUACCCUUGACAUGUCCAGGAGCCUGAAGAGAUUUGGGUGUGCCCGAAAGGGAACUGGAACACAGGUGCUGCAUGGCUGUCGUCAGCUCGUGUCGUGAGAUGUUGGGUUAAGUCCCGCAACGAGCGCAACCCUUGUCGUUAAUUGCCAUCAUUUAGUUGGGCACUUUAACGAGACUGCCGGUGACAAACCGGAGGAAGGUGGGGAUGACGUCAAGUCCUCAUGGCCCUUAUGGGUAGGGCUUCACACGUCAUACAAUGGUCGGUACAAAGGGUUGCCAAGCCGCGAGGUGGAGCCAAUCCCAGAAAGCCGAUCGUAGUCCGGAUCGCAGGCUGCAACUUGCCUGCGUGAAGUCGGAAUCGCUAG